This 709-nucleotide ribosomal RNA is filed under the name uncultured bacterium. RNAcentral's name for it is "bacterial SSU rRNA". It matches the Rfam family "Bacterial small subunit ribosomal RNA", at positions 57 to 762 of the family's 1533-position model. The record is from RNAcentral.
GCAAGUCGACGGCAGCACGGGGGCAACCUUGGUGGCGAGUGGCGAACGGGUGAGUAACAUAUCGGAACGUGCCCUGGAGUGGGGGAUAACUAGUCGAAAGAUUAGCUAAUACCGCAUACGAUCUACGGAUGAAAGUGGGGGAUCGCAAGACCUCAUGCUCGUGGAGCGGCCGAUAUCUGAUUAGCUAGUUGGUGGGGUAAAGGCCUACCAAGGCAUCGAUCAGUAGCUGGUCUGAGAGGACGACCAGCCACACUGGGACUGAGACACGGCCCAGACUCCUACGGGAGGCAGCAGUGGGGAAUUUUGGACAAUGGGCGCAAGCCUGAUCCAGCAAUGCCGCGUGAGUGAAGAAGGCCUUCGGGUUGUAAAGCUCUUUUGUCAGGGAAGAAACGGUGAGUUCUAAUACAGCUCACUAAUGACGGUACCUGAAGAAUAAGCACCGGCUAACUACGUGCCAGCAGCCGCGGUAAUACGUAGGGUGCAAGCGUUAAUCGGAAUUACUGGGCGUAAAGCGUGCGCAGGCGGUUUUGUAAGUUUGUCGUGAAAUCCCCGGGCUCAACCUGGGAAUGGCGAUGAAGACUGCAAGGCUAGAAUCUGGCAGAGGGGGGUAGAAUUCCACGUGUAGCAGUGAAAUGCGUAGAGAUGUGGAGGAACACCGAUGGCGAAGGCAGCCCCCUGGGUCAAGAUUGACGCUCAUGCACGAAAGCGU